This 494-nucleotide ribosomal RNA is filed under the name uncultured bacterium. RNAcentral describes it as "partial 16S ribosomal RNA". It matches the Rfam family "Bacterial small subunit ribosomal RNA", at positions 28 to 507 of the family's 1533-position model. The record is from RNAcentral.
GACGAACGCUGGCGGCGUGCUUAACACAUGCAAGUCGAACGGAAAGGCCUGCUUUCCCUUGUGUAUUGCGGGUACUCGCGUGGCGAACGGGUGUGUAACACGUGACUUAUCUUCCCCCAACUUGGUUAUAAGCCUGGGAAACUGGGGCUAAUUCCCUAUUGUACCGCAGGGUGGUGGCUGUGGUUGACGACGUUUUUCUAGUUGUUGGUGAUGAGCUCGCGGCCUGUCAUCUUGUUGGUGGGGUAAUGGCCUGCCAAGGCGGCGACGGGUGGCCGGCCUGGGAGGGGGGACGGGGACAUUGGGACUGAGAUACGGCCCAGACUCCUGCGGGAGGCAGCAGUGGGGAAGAUUGGAGGAUGUGCGGAGGCCUGAUGCAGCGACGCCGCGAGGGGGAUGACGGGCUUCGGGUUGUAAACUCCUUUGGAAAGCGAGGAAGCCACGUGGUUGGAAGGGUGGUGACGGUAGUGGUAGAAGAAGCACCGGCUAACUACGUG